This 918-nucleotide ribosomal RNA is filed under the name uncultured Bacillota bacterium. RNAcentral describes it as "bacterial SSU rRNA". It matches the Rfam family "Bacterial small subunit ribosomal RNA", at positions 1 to 916 of the family's 1533-position model. Lineage: Bacteria; Bacillati; Bacillota. The record is from RNAcentral.
GGAUCCAGACUUUGAUUCUGGCUCAGGAUGAACGCUAGCGGCAGGCUUAACACAUGCAAGUCGAGGGGCAGCGCGGGGCAGCAAUGUUCUGGCGGCGACCGGCGGAAGGGUGCGUAACGCGUGAGCGACAUGCCCGUUGCCCGGGGACAACCGGUGGAAACGCCGACUAAUCCCCGAUGGGACGGAGGCCCUCAUGGGUCUCCGUUGAAAGUUACGGCGGCGACGGAUUGGCUCGCGUCCGAUUAGCUUGUUGGCGGGGUAACGGCCCACCAAGGCUACGAUCGGUAGGGGUUCUGAGAGGAAGGUCCCCCACAAUGGAACUGAGACACGGUCCAUACUCCUACGGGAGGCAGCAGUGAGGAAUAUUGGUCAAUGGGCGGAAGCCUGAACCAGCCAUGCCGCGUGCGGGAAGGAGGCCCUAUGGGCUGUGAACCGCUUUUGCCUGGGGGCAAUAAGGGCGUCGUGCACGUCCGAUGAGAGUACCAGGCGAAUAAGCAUCGGCUAACUCCGUGCCAGCAGCCGCGGUAAUACGGGGGAUGCGAGCGUUAUCCGGAUUCAUUGGGUUUAAAGGGUGCGUAGGCUGUGCGUCAAGUCAGGGGUGAAAUUCCGGGGCUCAACUCCGGGGCUGCCCUUGAUACUGUCGCGCUGGAGUGCGGAUGCCGCCGGAGGAAUGAGUGGUGUAGCGGUGAAAUGCUUAGAUAUCACUCAGAACACCGAUUGCGAAGGCAUCUGGCGAAUCCGUAACUGACGCUGAGGCACGAAAGCGUGGGGAUAGAACAGGAUUAGAUACCCUGGUAUUCCACGCCGUAAACGAUGAUGGCUAACCGCCGGCGACACACUGUCGGUGGCCAAGCGAAAGCGAUAAGCCAUCCACCUGGGGAGUACGUCGGCAACGAUGCAACUCAAAUGAAUUGACGG